UGGGGAAUAUUGCACAAUGGGCGCAAGCCUGAUGCAGCCAUGCCGCGUGUAUGAAGAAGGCCUUCGGGUUGUAAAGUACUUUCAGCGGGGAGGAAGGGAGUAAAGUUAAUACCUUUACUCAUUGACGUUACCCGCAGAAGAAGCACCGGCUAACUCCGUGCCAGCAGCCGCGGUAAUACGGAGGGUGCAAGCGUUAAUCGGAAUUACUGGGCGUAAAGCGCACGCAGGCGGUUUGUUAAGUCAGAUGUGAAAUCCUCGGGCUCAACCUGGGAACUGCAUCUGAUACUGGCAAGCUUGAGUCUCGUAGAGGGGGGUAGAAUUCCAGGUGUAGCGGUGAAAUGCGUAGAGAUCUGGAGGAAUACCGGUGGCGAAGGCGGCCCCCUGGACGAAGACUGACGCUCAGGUGCGAAAGCGUGGGGAGCAAACAGG
Molecule: ribosomal RNA, 429 nt
Filed under: Chloroflexota bacterium
Lineage: Bacteria; Bacillati; Chloroflexota
Description: Chloroflexi bacterium partial 16S ribosomal RNA
Rfam family: Bacterial small subunit ribosomal RNA
Source: RNAcentral